CCCGGGAGCUUUGGCUCCACCGGAAAAAGAGGAGUGGCGAACGGGUGAGUAACACGUGGGUAACCUGCCCAUCAGAAGGGGAUAACACUUGGAAACAGGUGCUAAUACCGUAUAACAAUCAAAACCGCAUGGUUUUGAUUUGAAAGGCGCUUUCGGGUGUCGCUGAUGGAUGGACCCGCGGUGCAUUAGCUAGUUGGUGAGGUAACGGCUCACCAAGGCCACGAUGCAUAGCCGACCUGAGAGGGUGAUCGGCCACAUUGGGACUGAGACACGGCCCAAACUCCUACGGGAGGCAGCAGUAGGGAAUCUUCGGCAAUGGACGAAAGUCUGACCGAGCAACGCCGCGUGAGUGAAGAAGGUUUUCGGAUCGUAAAACUCUGUUGUUAGAGAAGAACAAGGAUGAGAGUAACUGUUCAUCCCUUGACGGUAUCUAACCAGAAAGCCACGGCUAACUACGUGCCAGCAGCCGCGGU
RNAcentral lists this ribosomal RNA (473 nucleotides) under Enterococcus faecium. Its description in RNAcentral is "bacterial SSU rRNA". It matches the Rfam family "Bacterial small subunit ribosomal RNA", at positions 69 to 521 of the family's 1533-position model. Lineage: Bacteria; Bacillati; Bacillota; Bacilli; Lactobacillales; Enterococcaceae. The record is from RNAcentral.